AUCUUCUUCAUCUUGGUUGGAAAUUUCUUCAAAAAUUAAGUUUUUUUGUCGGUGUGGGAGAAAUGUUGUGAGGCGCAUUUCCCAUACAUCAAUUAACAAAGGAAGACUAUUAUACACUUCUCAAUGAACAAGGUAAUAUGGGUUGGAAAUUUUAUAUUAAAGGCCCAUAACCAAAUUUGGAAAAUUUUGGAUUCGGUUUUAUAGGGAUUAUAGUAAUAUGAGUUUGGUAUUAGGGUUUAUUUUUACAUUCAGUUUCAGAUUUAAAUUUGAACUUUUUUUAUAGGAUUAAAAUGGUUACUGUGGAUACUUUGUAUGAGUUGAUGAGUUAAUUUAAACACUUGCACAGGAUGAAGCACAUCCAACACAUGUAUUAGAUCAAGGAAGAGAUGGUGAGAUCCACCAAAGAAGAAAGAUUGAGAGGCACCAGAAUUCAGA
This 435-nucleotide long non-coding RNA is filed under the name Cicer arietinum (chickpea). Its description in RNAcentral is "long non-coding RNA (CARI_LNC003082)". Lineage: Eukaryota; Viridiplantae; Streptophyta; Magnoliopsida; Fabales; Fabaceae. The record is from RNAcentral.